This 416-nucleotide ribosomal RNA is filed under the name uncultured prokaryote. Its description in RNAcentral is "bacterial SSU rRNA". It matches the Rfam family "Bacterial small subunit ribosomal RNA", at positions 505 to 918 of the family's 1533-position model. The record is from RNAcentral.
GUGCCAGCAGCCGCGGUAAUACAGAGGGUGCAAGCGUUAAUCGGAUUGACUGGGCGUAAAGGGCGCGUAGGUGGUUAUUUAAGUUAGAUGUGAAAUCCCUGGGCUUAACCUAGGAACUGCAUUUAAUACUGGAUAACUAGAGUAUAGGAGAGGGCAGUGGAAUUUCCGGUGUAGCGGUGAAAUGCGUAGAUAUCGGAAGGAACACCAGUGGCGAAGGCGACUGCCUGGCCUAAUACUGACACUGAGGCGCGAAAGCGUGGGUAGCAAACAGGAUUAGAUACCCUGGUAGUCCACGCAGUAAACGAUGAAUACUAGGCGAGGGGUUUGCAUGACAAACUUCGUGCCGUAGCUAACGCGAUAAGUAUUCCGCCUGGGGAGUACGGCCGCAAGGUUAAAACUUAAAGGAAUUGACGGGG